CACCUAACUGGCCUCUUUCCUCUACAGAGGGCGGAAGACCAGACUUCUCAGAAAAAGCCGUGGUUUCUAAGCAGUGGGGUUGGUUGCCAAGCCGCCUUGGUUGUCAGCGUCCUCUCCAAAAACUCCCGUAAAGCCGCGGUGGCGGCGGGGUUGUUUUUCUCCUGGUCAGACGGCGUCACAGCAGGAAGAGAAGCUGGCGCUCCACUCCAGCCCGGCCCUGCUCCCCAAGUCCUGUGGCUGCUCCUGGGGCCUCCAUCCCAGGGACCCGCUCCAUGGCCGCAGCUAAAAUGGGCAUCAGCAGUUGUGCGUCUGACCGGGUGUGUGCUGGUUUCCGGGAGGCCCUUUCCCGCCGCCAUCUGUACCACGGGUUCCCUGCUCCAGCGGUCUGCAGAGGGAUACUUCAGAAACUGGUUACUUAGGACACUGGUACAACUCAGCAGCGAAAGGGCUGAUGUUGGGAUGCUAUGAAUUUAUGAAUUAACUAAACACUUGUCUAAAGAAUUAGUUGUUUUUCUUUUCAAAUAAAGCCCUCCAAAAGGUGCUAAUUGUCUUUUUC
RNAcentral lists this long non-coding RNA (556 nucleotides) under Sus scrofa (pig). RNAcentral's name for it is "lncRNA (ENSSSCG00025076036.1)". The record is from RNAcentral. Lineage: Eukaryota; Metazoa; Chordata; Mammalia; Artiodactyla; Suidae.